RNAcentral lists this ribosomal RNA (279 nucleotides) under uncultured bacterium. RNAcentral's name for it is "partial 16S ribosomal RNA". It matches the Rfam family "Bacterial small subunit ribosomal RNA", at positions 506 to 784 of the family's 1533-position model. The record is from RNAcentral.
UGCCAGCCGCCGCGGUAAUACGAAGGGUGCGAGCGUUGUUCGGAAUUACUGGGCGUAAAGGGCGUGUAGGCGGCGGUUUUAGUCAGGCGUGAAAGCCCGAGGCUCAACCUCGGAAUAGCGCUUGAUACUGAACUGCUUGAGACCGGAAGAGGGUAGUGGAAUUCCCAGUGUAGAGGUGAAAUUCGUAGAUAUUGGGAGGAACACCAGUGGCGAAGGCGGCAACCUGGACGCUGACUGACGCUGAGACGCGAAAGCGUGGGGAGCAAACAGGAUUAGAUA